AGAGUUUGAUCCUGGCUCAGGACGAACGCUGGCGGCGUGCUUAACACAUGCAAGUCGAACGGAAAGGCCCUUCGGGGUACUCGAGUGGCGAACGGGUGAGUAACACGUGGGUGAUCUGCCCUGCACUUUGGGAUAAGCCUGGGAAACUGGGUCUAAUACCGAAUAUGACCACGCUCUUCAUGGGGUGUGGUGGAAAGCUUUUGCGGUGUGGGAUGGGCCCGCGGCCUAUCAGCUUGUUGAUGGGGUAAUGGCCUACCAAGGCGACGACGGGUAGCCGGCCUGAGAGGGUGACCGGCCACACUGGGACUGAGAUACGGCCCAGACUCCUACGGGAGGCAGCAGUGGGGAAUAUUGCACAAUGGGCGCAAGCCUGAUGCAGCGACGCCGCGUGAGGGAUGACGGCCUUCGGGUUGUAAACCUCUUUCACCAGGGACGAAGCGCAAGUGACGGUACCUGGAGAAGAAGCACCGGCCAACUACGUGCCAGCAGCCGCGGUAAUACGUAGGGUGCGAGCGUUGUCCGGAAUUACUGGGCGUAAAGAGCUCGUAGGUGGUUUGUCGCGUUGUUCGUGAAAACUCACAGCUUAACUGUGGGCGUGCGGGCGAUACGGGCAGACUAGAGUACUGCAGGGGAGACUGGAAUUCCUGGUGUAGCGGUGGAAUGCGCAGAUAUCAGGAGGAACACCGGUGGCGAAGGCGGGUCUCUGGGCAGUAACUGACGCUGAGGAGCGAAAGCGUGGGGAGCGAACAGGAUUAGAUACCCUGGUAGUCCAA
This 773-nucleotide ribosomal RNA is filed under the name uncultured bacterium. Its description in RNAcentral is "bacterial SSU rRNA". It matches the Rfam family "Bacterial small subunit ribosomal RNA", at positions 8 to 798 of the family's 1533-position model. The record is from RNAcentral.